CCUUGUCGUCCCGGUCCAGCAUUCCAUGUUUCCACGUCACAGACUCACAUUGUUUGACAGUUGUCAAUAUGUCUGCAUUGUGCAUGAGCGCCACCUACAGGAUGAGCAGACUGGGACAACCAACCUUUGGUGUGACAUCAUUGUUUGGCCUUGGCGAAGGAACUAAUCUGCUCAGCAACCAAACUAAAAUGCAGCCCUCAAAGCCGGCCUCACUUACCAACCCGAAUUUUGGUAGGCAUGUCUAUCAUGAGUGGACCCACCAAAAAGUCUCAAGAAGCCACUUUCGAAAAGACACAAGAAGUCAGCCGCUUUGCAUUAAAACACCCAUUUAAGAGUAACUUUUGGCCAUUUGCAGUUCUCCUUCAAAAACAAAUUGGUCCAAGAGAUAUUGUCAAUUCUUAUCAAGUUUGAACCACUUAUACUGGACGGUAAAGCAUGGAAAAUGUCAGUUUUCGAUAUUGUAAAGCUUGAUGACUCACCACAAAACAUGAAACUCUAAAAAGACUUUUCCACAUUGCUGUUUAACUUUUGUGAAUUAAAGGAUGAUUAUUUCAAUGUGAUGGAAGAUUCCAACUCUCCACAUGUAAAGCUUGUUUUUAGCAGUGCCAGCACAAAUACACCAAGGCACCAGAAAACCGAAAUGGCAGAAAAAUCUGUGGG
Phyllopteryx taeniolatus (common seadragon) is the source of this 660-nucleotide long non-coding RNA. RefSeq lists it as uncharacterized. The transcript is spliced from 3 exons. The record is from RefSeq and is a predicted model, not a curated record. NCBI's taxonomy places the organism in Eukaryota, Metazoa, Chordata, Actinopteri, Syngnathiformes, Syngnathidae.